RNAcentral lists this ribosomal RNA (497 nucleotides) under uncultured bacterium. RNAcentral's name for it is "partial 16S ribosomal RNA". It matches the Rfam family "Bacterial small subunit ribosomal RNA", at positions 28 to 507 of the family's 1533-position model. The record is from RNAcentral.
GAUGAACGCUGGCGGCGUGCCUAAUACAUGCAAGUCGAACGAACAGAUGAGGAGCUUGCUGCUCUGACGUUAGCGGCGGCCAGGUGAGUAACACGUGGAUAGCCUCCCUAUCAGACUGGGUGAACUACGGGAAACCGGAGCUACUACCGGAUGAUAUAUUGAACCGCAUGGUUCAUUAGUGAAAGACGGUUUUGGUGUCACUUAUAGAUGGAUCCGCGCCGCAUUAGCUGGUUGGUAAGGUAACGGCUUACCAAGGCGACGAUGCGUAGCCGACCUGAGAGGGUGGUCGGCGACACUGGAACGGAGACACGGCGCAGAAGACUACGGGGGGAGGCAGCAGGGAGGCUUACGGCACGGUGGGAAGAAUGACGAUGCAACGACGCGGGGGUGAUGAUGGUGGUCGUCGCGUUAUGAUCUGCUAUCGGGGAAGAACAAGUGUGUAAGUAACUAUGCGCGUCUUGACGGUACCUGAAUAAAAAGCCCCGGCUAACUACGUG